RNAcentral lists this unclassified non-coding RNA (250 nucleotides) under plant metagenome. RNAcentral describes it as "partial contains small subunit ribosomal RNA, internal transcribed spacer 1, and 5.8S ribosomal RNA". The stretch from base 201 to 250 matches the Rfam family "5.8S ribosomal RNA", at positions 1 to 49 of the family's 154-position model. The record is from RNAcentral.
UCUCCGUAGGUGAACCUGCGGAGGGAUCAUUACAGAGUUCAUGCCCUACCGGGUAGAUCUCCCACCCUAUGUUACUAUUACUUUGUUGCUUUGGCGGGCCGUUAGGCUCCGGCCCGACUACCGGCCCCGGCUGGUAAGCGUCCGCCAGAGGACCCAAAACCCUGAAUAUUAGUGUCGUCUGAGUACUAUAUAAUAGUUAAAACUUUCAACAACGGAUCUCUUGGUUCUGGCAAUCGAUGAAGAACGCAGC